This 501-nucleotide ribosomal RNA is filed under the name uncultured bacterium. RNAcentral's name for it is "bacterial SSU rRNA". It matches the Rfam family "Bacterial small subunit ribosomal RNA", at positions 33 to 507 of the family's 1533-position model. The record is from RNAcentral.
GACGACGACGCUGGCGGCGUGCCUAACACAUGCAAGUCGAACGGUUCUGUUGGGGGCUUGCUCUCGACAGAGUAGUGGCAAACGGGUGAGUAACACGUGGGUAAUCUUCCUUCGAGUGAGGAAUAACUUCGGGAAACCGGAGCCUAAUACCGCAUAACAUCUUGGAACGGCAGUUCUAAGAUCAAAGGGGGCGCAAGCUCCCGCUUGAAGUUGAGCUCGCGUCCUAUCAGCUAGUUGGUGAGGUAAUGGCUCACCAAGGCUCCGACGGGUAGCCGGCCUGAGAGGGUGGCCGGCCACACUGGGACUGAGACACGGCCCAGACUCCUACGGGAGGCAGCAGUGGGGAAUAUUGCGCAAUGGACGAAAGUCUGACGCAGCGACGCCGCGUGGGUGAUGAAGGCCUUCGGGUCGUAAAGCCCUGUUGAGGGAGAGAAAGCUACUGUCGGUUAAUACCCGGCAGUGGUGAUAGUAUCCCUAGAGAAAGCACCGGCUAACUACGUG